RNAcentral lists this unclassified non-coding RNA (370 nucleotides) under uncultured Chytridiomycota. RNAcentral describes it as "sequence contains ITS1". The stretch from base 1 to 105 matches the Rfam family "5.8S ribosomal RNA", at positions 50 to 154 of the family's 154-position model. The record is from RNAcentral. Lineage: Eukaryota; Fungi; Chytridiomycota.
GAAAUGCGAUACGUAGUGUGAAUUGCAGAAUCCAGUGAAUCAUCGAAUCUUUGAACGCACAUUGCGCCCUUGGGUAUUCCUGGGGGCAUGCCUGUUUGAGAACCUUGACGUACCUCACACCCCACCCUGGUGUUUUUGUUUUUUAGCUUCGGCGAAAUCAAUCCUCUCAGGUGUGGGAUCGUGGAUCUGGGUCCCUUCUUUUUCGCAAGGAAAAGAGACCUUAAAUGAAAUGUCGACCGCAUUCUUCAGCUUGGCUGGGUUUUGCUUGAGGCACAUCAAGGUUCUCAAACAGGCAGUUUGACCCUUUUGGUGAUGACUGAAGACCUGAACACCUGGUCUCAAAUCAGACAAGAAUACCCGCUGAACUUAA